This 501-nucleotide ribosomal RNA is filed under the name uncultured bacterium. RNAcentral's name for it is "partial 16S ribosomal RNA". It matches the Rfam family "Bacterial small subunit ribosomal RNA", at positions 30 to 523 of the family's 1533-position model. The record is from RNAcentral.
AUUGAACGCUGGCGGCAGGCUUAACACAUGCGAGUCGAGCGGAGAGAGGUAGCUUGCUACUGAUCUUAGCGGCGGACGGGUGAGUAAUGCUUAGGAAUCUGCCUAUUAGUGGGGGACAACAUUUCGAAAGGAAUGCUAAUACCGCAUACGUCCUACGGGAGAAAGCAGGGGAUCUUCGGACCUUGCGCUAAUAGAUGAGCCCAAGUCGGAUUAGCUAGUUGGUGGGGUAAAGGCCUACCAAGGCGACGAUCUGUAGCGGGUCUGAGAGGAUGAUCCGCCACACUGGGACUGAGACACGGCCCAGACUCCUACGGGAGGCAGCAGUGGGGAAUAUUGGACAAUGGGCGGAAGCCUGAUCCAGCCAUGCCGCGUGUGUGAAGAAGGCCUUAUGGUUGUAAAGCACUUUAAGCGAGGAGGAGGCUACUUUAGUUAAUACCUAGAGAUAGUGGACGUUACUCGCAGAAUAAGCACCGGCUAACUCUGUGCCAGCAGCCGCCGUAA